Molecule: ribosomal RNA, 484 nt
Filed under: uncultured bacterium
Lineage: Bacteria
Description: partial 16S ribosomal RNA
Rfam family: Bacterial small subunit ribosomal RNA
Source: RNAcentral
AUUGAACGCUGGCGGCAGGCCUAACACAUGCAAGUCGAGCGGCUGAAGGGAGCUUGCUCCUGGAUUCAGCGGCGGACGGGUGAGUAAUGCCUAGGAAUCUGCCUGGUGGUGGGGGAUAACGUCCGGAAACGGGCGCUAAUACCGCAUACGUCCUGAGGGAGAAAGUGGGGGAUCUUCGGACCUCACGCUAUCAGAUGAGCCUAGGUCGGAUUAGCUAGUUGGUGGGGUAAAGGCCUACCAAGGCGACGAUCCGUAACUGGUCUGAGAGGAUGAUCAGUCACACUGGAACUGAGACACGGUCCAGACUCCUACGGGAGGCAGCAGUGGGGAAUAUUGGACAAUGGGCGAAAGCCUGAUCCAGCCAUGCUGCGUGUGUGAAGAAGGUCUUCGGAUUGUAAAGCACUUUAAGUUGGGAGGAAGGGCAGUAAGUUAAUACCUUGCUGUUUUGACGUUACCAACAGAAUAAGCACCGGCUAACUUCGUG